CCUACGGGUGGCAGCAGUGAGGAAUAUUGGUCAAUGGGCGCUAGCCUGAACCAGCCAAGUCGCGUGAAGGAUGACUGCCCUAUGGGUUGUAAACUUCUUUUGUCUGGGAAUAAAGUGCAGUAUGUGUACUGCUUUGCAUGUACCUGAUGAAAAAGCAUCGGCUAACUCCGUGCCAGCAGCCGCGGUAAUACGGAGGAUCCGAGCGUUAUCCGGAUUUAUUGGGUUUAAAGGGUGCGCAGGCGGGUUGGUAAGUCAGUUGUGAAAGUUUGGGGCUCAACCGUAGAAGUGCGGUUGAUACUGGCAUCCUUGAGUGCAGGAGAGGUAGGCGGAAUGCGUGGUGUAGCGGUGAAAUGCUUAGAUAUCACGCAGAACUCCGAUUGCGAAGGCAGCCUGCUGGACUGUAACUGACGCUGAUGCUCGAAAGUGUGGGUAUCAAACAGGAUUAGAUACCCGAGUAGUC
RNAcentral lists this ribosomal RNA (460 nucleotides) under uncultured bacterium. RNAcentral's name for it is "partial 16S ribosomal RNA". It matches the Rfam family "Bacterial small subunit ribosomal RNA", at positions 338 to 795 of the family's 1533-position model. The record is from RNAcentral.